Molecule: ribosomal RNA, 625 nt
Filed under: Ommatides sp. d RHC-2018
Lineage: Eukaryota; Metazoa; Arthropoda; Insecta; Hemiptera; Schizopteridae
Description: partial large subunit ribosomal RNA
Rfam family: Eukaryotic large subunit ribosomal RNA
Source: RNAcentral
ACCAAGGAGUCUAACAUGUGCGCAAGUCAUUGGGUUUUAAAACCUAAAGGCGUAACAAAAGUAAAAUUUAUAAUUAAUGGCUCCUUAAUUGGAGUAUUUCUAAAGUUAAUUAUAAAUAAGGGAGGAUAGUUUAGUUUCCUUUUAAAAAUUUUAAUUUUUUUAAGGGGCUAGCUCGCACUCCCGGGGCGUCUUACACUCAUUGCGAGUAAAGGCGCACCAAGAGCGUACACGUUGGGACCCGAAAGAUGGUGAACUAUGCAAGGCCAGGAUGAAGCCAGGGGAAACCCUGGUGGAGGUCCGUAGCGAUUCUGACGUGCAAAUCGAUCGUCAGAGUUUUGUAUAGGGGCGAAAGACCAAUCGAACUAUCUAGUAGCUGGUUCCCUCCGAAGUUUCCCUCAGGAUAGCUGGUGCUAAUGAUGACAAGAGUCUCAUCUGGUAAAGCGAAUGAUUAGAGGGCUUGGGGCCGAAACGACCUCAACCUAUUCUCAAACUUUAAAUGGAUGAGAGCCUUGGCUUGCUUAAAUAUAUUAAAGUAAUAGCUCUUGUAGUUAUUAUUGUUUUUGUGAAGCCAGGGACUUUGGAUCAAAGUACCAAGUGGGCCAUUUUUGGUAAGCAGAACUGGCGA